This 426-nucleotide long non-coding RNA is filed under the name Capsicum annuum. Its description in RNAcentral is "long non-coding RNA (CANN_LNC000576)". Lineage: Eukaryota; Viridiplantae; Streptophyta; Magnoliopsida; Solanales; Solanaceae. The record is from RNAcentral.
UUAAAUGCAACAGAUAGAAAUUAGAUGACAACAAUAAUAAUAAUAGUGAUAUCAAUGCUAGUGCUUGAUCUCUCAUGUCUUUCGUGCCUUCCAUUUCUUCCCAACCCUUCUUGUCUUCGUUGCCUUCUAUGUCUGUCUUUAUUUCCUUGCUUUGAAUUUGUUGAUGGAUUAUUUAUGUAGUAUUAUUCAUUUGCAUCAGCCCAUCGAAAAAAUCCACAAUCAUUACCAACUUUAUAUUUUCAAUAGCCCCAAAAUAUUCUUUCAAAAUUAAUUGGUGUUCUUGACAUCUUAAGUUCAACAUAAAGCCCACGAUAACAAACACAAACUGUCAUGGUGUUGCGAAAAAUUACAAAAAUGAACUUUCCAAUAUUACGAAUAAAGCAGGAAAAAAAAUUAAGGAACAAGAACUUAGAGAGAGAAAAUAGG